Daucus carota subsp. sativus is the source of this 3089-nucleotide RNA transcript. RefSeq lists it as hypothetical. NCBI's taxonomy places the organism in Eukaryota, Viridiplantae, Streptophyta, Magnoliopsida, Apiales, Apiaceae. The record is from RefSeq and is a predicted model, not a curated record. The transcript is spliced from 12 exons.
AAAAAUGCUUGUGAAAUUACAUAUAAGCCCUUAGUUUUCACAGAAUUUCGAUUAUAUCCCCGUCCGUUAUACCCGAAUGUAACGAUGUACUCGAGACCCAGAGAGUAACCGGAUCGUUUUUCGCUGAACUCUUUCAUUUUCUUCAGGCUCAACAAACAGAUGUUAGGAUUUUUCAAAAAGAGUCUAUGAAGUACAUAAUUUAUAGGUCAUCUACACUACACAGUGCAUCGGAAACCUCUCAUAAACCCGAAAAAUGGCAGCUCUUCAAUUGCGUCGUUUCCGUCAAAUCUCUCACUUUCUCCCCUAUUAUUUCCCAGGGAUAUGUCAAUUCACAGUGGGUAUAUUUGAAGAGAACUCUUUUUGAUGCGUUGAAAUCUGUGGCAUGGAGAAAAGGGAUUGCUCGUCGGGCCCCAGAUACACCUACAAAGGACUGCAUAUUAAGUAGCAAAGAGCCAACAGAACAUGAACUUGUACUCUCUGGCAUUUGGGAGCUGGGAUUGCAAUGAUGAUCUUCCGUUUACACAGAGCUUUGAGUCAGCAAGACAAGCUGGACUCCUGCAUAGCAGCUACUCCGAAGAUCGUGAUCUCUAUGUCACUGGUGACUUGUACCAAAAUGAUGUUGUCACUCUGGCCACAAUUGUUGUUCCCCGACGCAGGAAGAGGAGAUAUGGGUUGUUUUCCUGCUGCUUGAGGCCAUCUUGUGAUUUGUGAGAAACCAAUGACAACUUAGAAGACUUUCUGAGAUGCAUCAUAUGCCUACAUGCAAAAGAAUGAUGGCAGACAACAUAGUUGUGACUAAAACCAUUUUAAGCUUUUAUAUUUUGAUGCAGCUAUGUAUCAAAGAGCAGAGCUCAGAAGAAGCCACUGGCUUGGUCAUCAGAUUUAUUAUCAGUAGAACAGGAGAUAAAGCAAAAGUGUCAGAACUCGUGAAGGAGGUGGCAAAAUUUGAUGACUUCAUGCUCUUGGAUAUCAAAGAGGAGUACAGUUUUCCUUCUUUAAAGCCGCCUAUGCACUUUAUGUUUCUGAAUUCUAUGUCAAAGCUGGCGCCGACAUAUAUUUGAGGCCAGUUCAGAAUCUCAGGAGCCUCUGAGAAGCAAUUAAGUUAUGGUCAUUGGAUAACUGCCUGUUGUAUUUGGCUCCCACUGGAAGCCCAUCAUCUGUGGAUCUUAUAUUAAAGUCGACAGACAAUGAUACAAACACAUGGCAGCUCAGGGUUUGGAUCUCAAUGUGCAAGACAAGGGUGGCUCCUUCAACUUGCUUGUGUUCAACUCGUAUAUUGAAUGUUUACAUAAUGCGCCAGUCAAAAAAAUUCUCAAGAGGGACGAGUCUAUCUUUUGAUCCCAUGCUCGAACAUAUACCGGAAGGGAAGGAGUUUAGUUAAAACUCAAUCUGAAUAACCACAAAAUGAGUGGCAUCAUUCAGUAUUGUGUUGUUGACGUCAUUUUUAUAUCAGAUUCUAUCUUUAUAUGGAGACUUAUUUUGAUGGUUAACAGCAUGAAACAAAGACAAGACACUUCUGAACUUUUUUAACAAGCACAUACCAAAUCGUAAAAUGUUGAUAUUAGAUCUGAAACUUGAAAGUAUAUGUUAGUUAUACAUUUUAAUAAGCACAUACCAAAUCGUAAAAUAUUGAUAUUAUAUCUGAAACUUGAAAGUAUAUGUUAGUUAUACAACAGGCCCGUGCCUUGCACGGGCUUUUACGCUAGUUAUAUAUAUAAUGCUGCAACAAGCACUUUGGUUGAGCCAUUUUAUUCCAUGUGGCAGCCACGUCAGAUGACAUCUGAGAUCCACGUAAGGUCGGUGACUCCAUAUCGUUUAUUAAACGGUUUAAUUUAAACCUACGCAACUUUACAGCUUCUUCCGCGGCUCUACAACUCCCUUUAUUCUCGUCACCAUGCCAUAUAAUCAACGGUCGAAGUACUAAAAUCUACAUCAAGUAGCCUUCUAUAUUCUCUCUUAUGGGUCUCAUGGCAGCCUAUUUCCUGUAAAUUAGGGCUUUUCUCUGAAUCGAUAAACACAUCAGAACAAGCAGUGGAAUUUUCGGAGAAGUGUUUUUAUAUGUCUGGUUGAUCGAAACUUUCUGGGAUUUUUCUAUUUUGAGGAAUGGAGAAUGACAAGCAACAGUGUGAUUAAGCUGUGUGGAAGUAAGGAUGAUGGGAGUAAUGGCUUAAAGAAGACGGUAGUUAAUGGAACUGGAUCAGCUGUUACUUGGUUUGGUGCAGUGAUAGUUAUAGUUUAAGGAAGUCAGUUAGAGAUUGUUUUCCUAACAAAGAAUUGCCUGCGACUUUGGAAAGUAUGACGAGGUCAGAAAGAUUGGUGAAAAGCGCGUCAGUGUCGCCGGUAAGCAAUAGGAAGUUUGGGAGAAUUAGUAAAGAAUUGACACCAAGCCCUUUGAGGUGGUCUGAUGGAGGUAAGAAACAGAUUACACCGGGUUCCUUAGAACCAAAGAAGUCUGAGGAGAAGGUGUCUGUAGCGGAAGAUCGGGAUCAGAUGAAGAAUAAAAGAGAGAAGAGUUUGAGUGAGUUGACGAGAGAAAAUAAAUGUGAGGGUGAGACCUCUGGUCUUGGCGUGCAUUCAGAGCUCUUUUUAAGAGACAAUCAAACAUAAAAUCUGUUGCAGACAAGAAUGGCAUUAGCUCCUCUGAAAGGGAUAGUGUCGUUGAAGAGAAUUUAGCAAUUGCAGAAAAAUUGGUUGUUGACUUAUUCCAAGGGAGUUUUCUGAGCCAUUUUAUUCCAUGUGGCAGCCACUCCAGAUUACACUUGAGAUCAACGCAAGGUAACAAUACAAUAUGCAGUGGAAUUACAUUUGGCAAGAUCUCAAUGGCUUAUAUGAUCUCUUUAUGGAUGCUAUUGGAAUACUUAUGAGAUAUCAAGAAGCUCGGUGAAACAGAGUUGAUGUAAAAAGGUGCUGGAUUUAAGCUCAACAUUCUAUUUUUAUAGCAAAAUAUAGCACAGUGAUAUAUUCACUUUAUCUUGACUCGGAGUAGAAAGGAGGAUUGCCUGUGUAAUACUUAUAUUCGGCUUAUCCUAGCUAUGAUUUUAUUAGGAGAUUAUGUUAAUGCAAAAAAAUGUUGCUGUUGAUUUGCUGCA